AUUGAACGCUGGCGGAAUGCUUUACACAUGCAAGUCGAACGGUAGAGGGGGCAACCCCUUGAGAGUGGCGAACGGGUGAGUAAUAUAUCGGAACGUGCCCAGUCGUGGGGAUAACGUAGCGAAAGUUACGCUAAUACCGCAUACGAUCUAAGGAUGAAAGCGGGGGAUCGCAAGACCUCGCGCGAUUGGAGCGGCCGAUAUCAGAUUAGGUAGUUGGUGAGGUAAAGGCUCACCAAGCCGACGAUCUGUAGCUGGUCUGAGAGGACGACCAGCCACACUGGGACUGAGACACGGCCCAGACUCCUACGGGAGGCAGCAGUGGGGAAUUUUGGACAAUGGGCGCAAGCCUGAUCCAGCAAU
Molecule: ribosomal RNA, 360 nt
Filed under: uncultured bacterium
Lineage: Bacteria
Description: bacterial SSU rRNA
Rfam family: Bacterial small subunit ribosomal RNA
Source: RNAcentral